UGCAAGUCGACGAUGAUAAAGAGCUUGCUCUUUUGAUUAGUGGCGCACGGGUGASUAAUAUAUAGUUAAUGUACCCCAAAGACCGGGAUAGCCACUGGAAACGGUGAUUAAUACUGGAUACACCUUAUAGAUUUAAGUUUAUAAGGGAAAUGUCUUUUCGCUUUGGGAUCAGACUAUAUCCUAUCAGCUAGUUGGUGAGGUAAGAGCUCACCAAGGCAAUGACGGGUAGCGGGUUUGAGAGGAUGAUCCGCCACACUGGUACUGAGACACGGACCAGACUCCUACGGGAGGCAGCAGUGAGGAAUAUUGCACAAUGGAGGAAACUCUGAUGCAGCAACGCCGCGUGGAGGAUGACGCAUUUCGGUGUGUAAACUCCUUUUAUUAGGGAAGAAAAUGACGGUACCUGAUGAAUAAGCACCGGCUAACUCCGUGCCAGCAGCCGCGGUAAUACGGAGGGUGCAAGCGUUACUCGGAAUCACUGGGCGUAAAGGACGCGUAGGCGGGUUGGUAAGUCAGGUGUGAAAUCCUACAGCUUAACUGUAGAACUGCAUUUGAAACUACCGACCUAGAGUGUGGGAGGGGGGAGAUGGAAUUAGUGGUGUAGGGGUAAAAUCCRUACAUMUCACUARGAAUACCGARRGCGAAGGCSAUCUCCUGGAACAUARCUGACGCURRRGCGUGAAAKCGUGGKGAGCRKRCAGGAUUAGAUACCCUGGUAGUCCA
RNAcentral lists this ribosomal RNA (723 nucleotides) under uncultured bacterium. RNAcentral describes it as "partial 16S ribosomal RNA". It matches the Rfam family "Bacterial small subunit ribosomal RNA", at positions 56 to 797 of the family's 1533-position model. The record is from RNAcentral.